RNAcentral lists this transfer RNA (77 nucleotides) under Actinomycetota bacterium. RNAcentral describes it as "Actinobacteria bacterium tRNA-Arg". It matches the Rfam family "tRNA". Rfam says of the family: Transfer RNA (tRNA) molecules are approximately 80 nucleotides in length. Their secondary structure includes four short double-helical elements and three loops (D, anti-codon, and T loops). RNAcentral also lists the same sequence under 1 other name. The record is from RNAcentral. Lineage: Bacteria; Bacillati; Actinomycetota.
GCGGUCGUAGCUCAAUUGGAUAGAGCAUCUGACUACGGAUCAGAAGGUUGUGGGUUCAAGUCCCGCCGAGCGCACCA